GCCGGGGUGGCGGAAUCGGCAGACGCAGCGGACUUAAAAUCCGCCGGAGCAAUCCUUGUGGGUUCGACCCCCACCCCCGGCACCA
RNAcentral lists this transfer RNA (85 nucleotides) under Dehalococcoides mccartyi. RNAcentral describes it as "tRNA-Leu". It matches the Rfam family "tRNA". From Rfam's summary of the family: Transfer RNA (tRNA) molecules are approximately 80 nucleotides in length. Their secondary structure includes four short double-helical elements and three loops (D, anti-codon, and T loops). Lineage: Bacteria; Bacillati; Chloroflexota; Dehalococcoidia; Dehalococcoidales; Dehalococcoidaceae. RNAcentral also lists the same sequence under 13 other names. The record is from RNAcentral.